RNAcentral lists this unclassified non-coding RNA (319 nucleotides) under plant metagenome. RNAcentral describes it as "partial contains 5.8S ribosomal RNA, internal transcribed spacer 2, and large subunit ribosomal RNA". The stretch from base 1 to 104 matches the Rfam family "5.8S ribosomal RNA", at positions 51 to 154 of the family's 154-position model. The record is from RNAcentral.
AAAUGCGAUAAGUAAUGUGAAUUGCAGAAUUCAGUGAAUCAUCGAAUCUUUGAACGCACAUGGCGCCCGCCAGUAUUCUGGCGGGCAUGCCUGUCUGAGCGUCAUUUCAACCCUCAGGACCCGUUCGCGGGACCUGGCGUUGGGGAUCAGCCUGCCCCUGGCGGCGGCUGGCCCUGAAAUCCAGUGGCGGUUCCCUCGCGAACUCCUCCGUGCAGUAAUUAAACCUCUCGCGGCAGGAUAGCGGUUGAACCACGCCGUUAAACCCCCCACUUCUCAAGGUUGACCUCAGAUCAGGUAGGAAUACCCGCUGAACUUAAGC